UUGUCUCAAAAUAAUAAUAAUAAAAUAGGAACAAUGCAGAGAAGAUUAGCAAGGCCCUUGCACGAGGAUGUCAUGAAAAUUUACAUACAAAGCAUUCCAUAUAUUU
This is a small nuclear RNA of Callithrix jacchus (white-tufted-ear marmoset), 106 nucleotides long. The record is from Ensembl. Lineage: Eukaryota; Metazoa; Chordata; Mammalia; Primates; Cebidae.